Phyllostomus discolor (pale spear-nosed bat) is the source of this 164-nucleotide small nuclear RNA. RefSeq annotates it as U1 spliceosomal RNA. The transcript has a single exon. Lineage: Eukaryota; Metazoa; Chordata; Mammalia; Chiroptera; Phyllostomidae. The record is from RefSeq and is a predicted model, not a curated record.
ACACUUACCUGGCAGGGGAGAUACCAUGACCACAAAAUUGGUUCUCUCAGGGUGAGGUUCAUCCGUUGCACUCUGGGUGUGCUGACCCUUGUGAUUUCCUCGAAUGUGGGAGACUCGACUGUAUAAUUUGUGGUAGUGGGGAACUGUGUUUGCGUUCUCCCCUG